GACGAACGCUGGCGGCGUGCCUAAUACAUGCAAGUCGAGCGGACUUUCAAGAAGCUUGCUUUUUGAAAGUUAGCGGCGGACGGGUGAGUAACACGUGGGCAACCUGCCUGCAAGACGGGGAUAACUCCGGGAAACCGGGGCUAAUACCGGAUAAUAUCUUCCUUCGCAUGAAGGAAGGUUGAAAGGCGGCGCAAGCUGCCGCUUGCAGAUGGGCCCGCGGCGCAUUAGCUAGUUGGUGAGGUAACGGCUCACCAAGGCGACGAUGCGUAGCCGACCUGAGAGGGUGAUCGGCCACACUGGGACUGAGACACGGCCCAGACUCCUACGGGAGGCAGCAGUAGGGAAUCUUCCGCAAUGGACGAAAGUCUGACGGAGCAACGCCGCGUGAGCGAGGAAGGUCUUCGGAUCGUAAAGCUCUGUUGUCAGGGAAGAACAAGUACCGUUCGAACAGGGCGGUACCUUGACGGUACCUGACCAGAAAGCCACGGCUAACUACGUG
Molecule: ribosomal RNA, 499 nt
Filed under: uncultured bacterium
Lineage: Bacteria
Description: partial 16S ribosomal RNA
Rfam family: Bacterial small subunit ribosomal RNA
Source: RNAcentral